Molecule: ribosomal RNA, 1507 nt
Filed under: Escherichia coli 1-250-04_S1_C1
Lineage: Bacteria; Pseudomonadati; Pseudomonadota; Gammaproteobacteria; Enterobacterales; Enterobacteriaceae
Description: partial 23S ribosomal RNA
Source: RNAcentral
AUAAACUGAUCAGCCUCUUCCGUCAGUUUGGUGGCACGGAGUUGCGCCUCAAACUGGUCUGGCUUUGCUGGCUUGAUUUAAUGACCGGAAACAGCCUUGAAGACUGGAAAGAGAACCUGAAACGGAAAUCAGAAAAAGAGCUGGAGGAAUGGAUCAUCAACCGUCAGAGGCAGAGCGCAGCACUGACGGAUCUGAUGGAUCAGUACGUGCUCCUGGCAUACCGCACAACGGUUGACGAUAGCCGCAACUGAUGCCGGUUGCUUCCGGAAGGUGUGACAAAAUACGGAAAUGAUGAUGCUCCCGGCCCCCAUGCUCACCUGCAGAGCGUGUUCGUCGUCAUCAUACUGAGCCAUGACGGGCGUCUUAAGGGCAUCCUGUCAUUGCUGAGCAGGCAACACCACCAGAGGAGCCACGGACAGGGAUGUUCUUUACAGCCCGAUACACGCCAGGUUCUCAGCAGACUGAAUGUGCAGGUGCGGUUAUUCACCAGAAAUGGCAUGCUGCAGUACAUACCCAUCCUGGUGACAAUAUGUACGUGGCGACAGCGAUCCCGGCACUGUGGAAGAGACUCACUCAGCCUGCAGGAUAUUCUUUCCGGCAUCCGGGAAUGUCCGCCUGAAUGCAAACAGGGUGAUAUUUGAAUCCGUAAUACUGUUCUUUCAUCAUAAAUAAUUUAUGCAGAUACAGUUAACCGUUACAGUAGCCGGUUUGUUUUACCGGGAAAUAAUAUCCGUCAGACUGAUGCCGGAACAUAUCUGAAACACGUUAUGAUGUUUUGUUAUCAGAAAUGUUGUAUAUUCUUAUCCGUGGCGACAGUUUAAUGCCCUCUGGUAUCACCUGAUAAUGUAUAUCCUGCGAUGAUUCGUUAUAUUUACGGGACACGCCUCUUUUCAUUGUGCUCCUUUUCAGACUUCAUUUUCCGUAAGUGUUCCCCGGCAUAAAGGAGGUACCUUUCUGGCGUUUAUAACUCUCUUUAUCGGUGACGCCGGUAAUACAGGGAAUACCACACCGACAAACGAGGUAUUAACAGACGAUAUUUCAGUGUCCAUAAUUUUUCUGUCCGGUUAAAUAACGUCAGUCUGCUGCCCUCUGACUGUAAUCAUCAAAGCCGGAAUGCAUACCGGGUUACAACGUAAAAAAAGUGAUGCUGGCCCCCGGCGCAGCUGGCGGGCGAAACAUGUUUACCUUUCAAUACCCCCUGUCUGCAGUCUCCACUCUUCCAUUCUCUUAAGCUACGUCGGCCACAUGAGUGCACUUCCAUGAUAACAGGUAUUCCUGUCAGCAUAACGAAGCCGGUUACCUUCCCUUCCUCCUGCAUUUCCUGUCAGAAUGACUAUACAGCGCGCAGAUUGCCUUUUUAUUGACCAUCUUAAUAUACCAUUAUAAACUUCUUUUUAUCAUAUUAUUAUCACCUUAUUAUGUUUAAUUUUUAAGCAGUCGGAGAAAGAGGAUGGUUCAGAAAAUUUUGUCGGAUAAGGUUAUGAAUGAAAGAACAAAUGCGUAUUAC